UUGGCUCAGGAUGAACGCUGGCGGCGUGCCUAAUACAUGCAAGUCGAGCGAGAAUCAAGUGAACGGAGAUUCGUCGAAGAGAUCUUGAGGAAAGCGGCGGACGGGUGAGUAACGCGUAGGCAACCUGCCCUUAGCAGAGGGAUAGCCAUUGGAAACGACGAUUAAAACCUCAUAAUGCUGUGAGAUCACAUGAUCUUGCAGCCAAAGAUUUAUCGGCUAAGGAUGGGCCUGCGUCUGAUUAACUAGUUGGUGAGGUAACGGCCCACCAAGGUGACGAUCAGUAGCCGACCUGAGAGGGUGAUCGGCCACAUUGGAACUGAGACACGGUCCAAACUUCUACGGGAGGCAGCAGUGGGGAAUA
This 361-nucleotide ribosomal RNA is filed under the name uncultured rumen bacterium clone 12. RNAcentral's name for it is "bacterial SSU rRNA". It matches the Rfam family "Bacterial small subunit ribosomal RNA", at positions 19 to 363 of the family's 1533-position model. The record is from RNAcentral.